UACGUAGGGUGCAAGCGUUGUCCGGAAUUAUUGGGCGUAAAGAGCUCGUAGGCGGUUUGUCGCGUCUGCUGUGAAAACCCGAGGCUCAACCUCGGGCCUGCAGUGGGUACGGGCAGACUAGAGUGCGGUAGGGGAGAUUGGAAUUCCUGGUGUAGCGGUGGAAUGCGCAGAUAUCAGGAGGAACACCAAUGGCGAAGGCAGAUCUCUGGGCCGUAACUGACGCUGAGGCGCGAAAGCUAGGGGAGCGAACGGG
This 253-nucleotide ribosomal RNA is filed under the name uncultured bacterium. RNAcentral describes it as "partial 16S ribosomal RNA". It matches the Rfam family "Bacterial small subunit ribosomal RNA", at positions 524 to 776 of the family's 1533-position model. The record is from RNAcentral.